This 497-nucleotide ribosomal RNA is filed under the name uncultured bacterium. Its description in RNAcentral is "partial 16S ribosomal RNA". It matches the Rfam family "Bacterial small subunit ribosomal RNA", at positions 28 to 507 of the family's 1533-position model. The record is from RNAcentral.
GAUGAACGCCGGCGGCGUGCCUAAUACAUGCAAGUCGAGCGAACGGACGAGAAGCUUGCUUCUCUGAUGUUAGCGGCGGACGGGUGAGUAACACGUGGAUAACCUACCUAUAAGACUGGGAUAACUUCGGGAAACCGGAGCUAAUACCGGAUGAUAUUUUGAACCGCAUGGUUCAAAAGUGAAAGACGGUCUUGCUGUCACUUAUAGAUGGAUCCGCGCUGCAUUAGCUAGUUGGUAAGGUAACGGCUUACCAAGGCAACGAUGCAUAGCCGACCUGAGAGGGUGAUCGGACACACUGGAACUGAGACACGGUCCAGACUCCUACGGGAGGCAGCAGUAGGGAAUCUUCCGCAAUGGGCGAAAGCCUGACGGAGCAACGCCGCGUGAGUGAUGAAGGUCUUCGGAUCGUAAAACUCUGUUAUUAGGGAAGAACAUAUGUGUAAGUAACUGUGCACAUCUUGACGGUACCUAAUCAGAAAGCCACGGCUAACUACGUG